RNAcentral lists this ribosomal RNA (253 nucleotides) under uncultured bacterium. RNAcentral describes it as "partial 16S ribosomal RNA". It matches the Rfam family "Bacterial small subunit ribosomal RNA", at positions 524 to 776 of the family's 1533-position model. The record is from RNAcentral.
UACGGAGGGGGCUAGCGUUGUUCGGAAUCACUGGGCGUAAAGCGCACGUAGGCGGAUUUUUAAGUCAGAGGUGAAAUCCCAAGGCUCAACCUUGGAACUGCCUUUGAUACUGGGAAUCUUGAGUGUGGUAGAGGUUGGUGGAACAGCAAGUGUAGAGGUGAAAUUCGUAGAUAUUUGCUAGAACACCAGUGGCGAAGGCGGCCAACUGGACCAUAACUGACGCUGAGGUGCGAAAGCGUGGGGAGCAAACAGG